Molecule: long non-coding RNA, 2161 nt
Organism: Homo sapiens (human)
Lineage: Eukaryota; Metazoa; Chordata; Mammalia; Primates; Hominidae
Product: long intergenic non-protein coding RNA 1206
Source: Ensembl
CUUGGCAGUUGAGAUUCAGACCUUGACAGUUGUAACCGAUAGACUGGGCUGGGGCAACGCUGAUGAAAGGCAAAUUCCUGAGAGAAAAAUCACCCAGAUUUUUCAGUGCCUUCUCUAGCUUUCUAGAAGUUGUUAUGAGUGGACCUGACUACCUAGAGAGAGUAAUACAGAAGCUCCGUGCCGAUCACAGCUACCUCAUUACCAUGUUCCUCCAAGAUGGCCGCCCCUGAGGAGAAUCAUCAACUGGGCUUUACGGAAGAGAGAAAUCCAAACGACCAUCAGCAACAAAUGAAAGACUGAAGUUGAAAGUUUCAAGAUUGUCAAGAAUGACGAGUUGGACUUGGUCUAGUUACUUCCACAGCAGCAGGAGGAACAUGUGUGUGACUCAGGAUAACUGGGGAAGCCUUGGCUAGGCUUUCCUCAUGUCAACCUACCACUCAAAGGGAGAAAACCUCCUGAUCAGAGGUGCCCAGAACCCAGGAAAUCCAUAAUUUUUGAAUGCUGGCCGAGGUCUGUGACCUCUGACUGAAUGGUUUCCAAGCUCCGAAUUCCUAGGUGAUGUUUUCAUUUGUUCACACUUGCUGAAGAAGGGAAAGGCUCUCUGAUUUACGUGUAAGCAAAACAAUCUAAACAGUAGGAUAAAAUCAUGUUGGAAUGGAGUUCUGUGUGGAUGCUCCUUUGAACCAAAUCAGUUCCACAACUGACCCUGUCAGGGACAUAUAAAUUUAGCAUUUUGGUGUGGAUACAGAAGACGAGAUUAACACAGAUCAAGUAACAUGGAAAUAAAAAAGGAGACAAUGCUGGAUGAUACAGGGGCAGCCAACAAGAGGAGAAAACCCAAGCAUUGGCAAAUGCCUCAUUAUCCAAAGAACACUGAGGUGUGGAGCAAAACUGUGUUGAAUGAACUGUAGAUGGAAAUUCUCUCCUUCCCACCGAGGAGCCGCUGCAGGUUGCAGACUCCCAGAAUGCCACACUGAGAAGAGGAGGGCUAAAAUUCUAGAGCAGAAUCCCUGGGGCAGCCCCUGCUGAAGAAGGGUGCAUCUGUUGAGAAUCUCAUCACCGCCCCCACCCCGCCCAGCCUUCAAUUUAGAGGAAUUUCUAGUUCACGCAGAAUGAAGACAAGAUCACAUAAGUGAGGACGACGCCCCAUUUACAAGUGUGAUUUGGAAGACUGAAGUGGAAACCUUGGGAAGGGGCCUCAGAGUAUGUCAGCUGGGGUCAGACGGGAACAGGAGUCUGGCUCAACACACAUUUAUUGCACUCCUGUUUCAUGCCAAGAAAUGUACCAAAAUCUGGGACUGUGUAACACAGCAAAGGAAAAGACUCAUCUCCAGGAAGCCCCCUUGUCUAGGAAGAGAAAUUGAAUAUCAGCAUAAGGUGGUGAAAAGCUGUGAAGGAGAUGAGUGCCAGGAGUCCAUGGAGGAAGGAUUCUAGCCUGGACAGGUGAGGAAUGGCUUUCUGGAAGAAGCAGAUGCCCCAGCUGAACUUUAAAAUGCCCAUGUGAAAUGAACUGUCUGUAUCUUCAAUCAGCAAAUGGAGUAGGUGGCCACUGUUUAAUUCUGGAAUGGGGAAGUGUAAAGGUGUGGUGUGUGUGUUUACCCCUACUUAGGGAUUCAAAACAGACAGUAAAGAACAAAAGUCUAGCCCUUUGAGCAUUCUCCAUGGGACAUUUGAGGUCUAGCUGGCCCCAGAGAAAGAGAGACAGAAGCAAGGUCAUAUCCAUUUGAGAAAAUCAAAGUGUCUGCUCCAAUUGAGUCUGGUGUCCUUAUUCCUGGAAUAGCCAUCCCUACUGCUCUGGUGCUGAUUUACCUCCGGCAGUUCAGUGCUUCCUGGAAGGUGAUUGUGGUGAAUAGUCAUGAGAAUCUGGGAACUGGCUCCUGCUCUGUCUAUCUUGGAGAUGCAUCUUUUAGUCUCCAUGAAUUGCAAGGGAAAACAAGUGGUACACUGGUAUUUCUAUUUGAUAACCUGUUCUCUUUGGAAUUCCGGUUAGAAAUCAAAGGCUUACUUGAGUUUUAAUGCUUUCGGGACUUCAAAUGCUUUUCUAUCUUCCUAAUAAUAUAUUAACAUUUUCUGAAGACAACAUAUAUGUGGAAAACAACAUUAUUUACUCAAAUAAUUUUUUUUGAAAAAUGGACCAAAAAAAAAGAAAAACCAACAAAAA